AUCGUUUUAAAUACCAGCGAGAAAAAAUCACUCUGUUCGCUUACGGUAACACAGCGCAUCUCAUCUGUAGUAUCGUGAACAGGGGAAGCUGGUGAGCGAACAUGAGAGCUAAGGUUGGUGGCCUUUUACCAAUUGUUUCAAUCCAUUCACUUUUAGUACUUUAUUUCGUUCCUUUUUUAGCUUUUGUUGGAAAUUACUAGUUACUCGAUCCUCUUAAGUGCACUUUCACAACCAAUUUCGUCUUUAAAAAAAAAAAAUUGCAGUGUCAAUCAUCGAUUUCCUAGUGUUAAACGGAGUGUUUAUCAUCUUUUUGUUACCUUGAUCCAUGAUAUUUUGAUUUUACUUGGAAUUUCGUAAGGCUGGUUUAUGGUUUUAUUGUUUAAUUGGCUAAGAACGUUCUCGUUCUAGUUGUACUGUAGCUGUUUCUUGGAUUCUUUUCGCCAAUCUCGUGUUGGAAUUUACAAGUGCUUGCCGUUCUAUAAUAUCACGCUAGACAAUGCAGGCCAUUUCCUAUGCUAAAUUAAAUAUGAAGAACAUAUUUAGUUUUUCUUUUUUGUUUCUUUUCUUUUUUUUUUUUUUUUUUUUUUUUUUGUUUUUUUUGGGCUAGACAGAAUUAAAUAUACAACAUAACUAGAAUUUGAAUUGGGCCACAUUCCAGCCAAAUUCUUUUGAUAUCUUUUUGCCCUAUUGUUUGCGUGUAUCACGCUCUUAUAUACUAAUUUGGCAAGUGUUCCAAUGUCAAUCUUGGAUAAGGUUUGUUUACUAGAAA
RNAcentral lists this long non-coding RNA (769 nucleotides) under Olea europaea subsp. europaea. The record is from RNAcentral. Lineage: Eukaryota; Viridiplantae; Streptophyta; Magnoliopsida; Lamiales; Oleaceae.